GUAAGUAGAGGUUGCGUUGAUCAUCAGUAGGCAUCGGAUGCGGCAGAAGCAGAAGAAGAUGUCCGAAAGGGAAAGACGCCGAAGGACUGCGGAUUCUGCGGCUGCGGUUCCUGGGCAUGGGAUGAAGAAUCACAUGACUGUCAUCGACACGAUGGGGAGCUACUGGG
This 167-nucleotide non-coding RNA is filed under the name uncultured Clostridium sp. RNAcentral describes it as "Lysine riboswitch". It matches the Rfam family "Lysine riboswitch aptamer". Rfam says of the family: Riboswitches are metabolite binding domains within certain messenger RNAs that serve as precision sensors for their corresponding targets. Allosteric rearrangement of mRNA structure is mediated by ligand binding, and this results in modulation of gene expression. Lineage: Bacteria; Bacillati; Bacillota; Clostridia; Eubacteriales; Clostridiaceae. The record is from RNAcentral.